UACGGAGGGAGCUAGCGUUGUUCGGAUUUACUGGGCGUAAAGCGCACGUAGGCGGCUUUGUAAGUUAGAGGUGAAAGCCCGGGGCUCAACUCCGGAACUGCCUUUAAGACUGCAUCGCUUGAAUCCAGGAGAGGUGAGUGGAAUUCCGAGUGUAGAGGUGAAAUUCGUAGAUAUUCGGAAGAACACCAGUGGCGAAGGCGGCUCACUGGACUGGUAUUGACGCUGAGGUGCGAAAGCGUGGGGAGCAAACAGG
Molecule: ribosomal RNA, 253 nt
Filed under: uncultured bacterium
Lineage: Bacteria
Description: partial 16S ribosomal RNA
Rfam family: Bacterial small subunit ribosomal RNA
Source: RNAcentral